GCUCUGAAUGUGGAGGUGCAAACAGUUAAACUUAAAACUCAUUCGAAGUCGAAGUCAUGUUGAUGUUUUACAUUUAAGGACUACAGAGAGCCAGGUAAAGUAUUAUUCAUCAUCUGUAUUUAAUUUAAAUAUGUGGAAUUAAUGUCUAAAUACUGUAUUUGGGUAUAAAACAAAUCAGCACAUAUUUAAUUGACAAAGGUUUGGAGGCAAUGUGGUAAGAAUCCAUGCAUGUGGUUGUUCUACUCUAUAUUACAAUGCACAUUACACAUACAUCCAUAUAAAUUGGUUACAGAUACAUUGAACCACCAACUAAAAACAUUUAGCCAAAAGCAAACUCAUGUUCCCUCUACACCAGGGGUGUCACACUCAAGUUUCAGAGAGGGCCAAAAUUAAGAAAUGGUACUGAGUGCCAAACAGUCUCAUAGUGCUGUCUUAAUAUUAUUAUUAUGGACACGCCAGCUCCACUUUUGAGGCAAACUGGAUAUAAUUGUACCACGGCCAGAUGUAGCCCACAGAGUUUGAGUUUGACAUGCCUGCUCUACACCAUAUGUGAUCAUUUUAAAUAUAUUUGUUUUAACUUAAGAGACUCGUAGUGAAUUUGUGUUUUAAUACAGGUAAAUGCAGAAUUCACCCUCAUCACCACAGUCCCCCUGUUCUCAACCUUUAUGUCCCGACUGGAUCAUUACUAUAGCCAGCUAUUGAGGGUAUUCAAAAAGAAGGGGGGAACAGCAAGACGUGAUAUCGACGUAAUCAUUGCAGAAAUGGACAUGAAUCCCAGUGUUGAAGUACGACAGACAUGCAUCCUAAAGGCGUUGUGCGUCUACUUAAAUGAAAAGCCUGACAGCCUUAUUAAGGAGUACUGGUGUCAUAGAUGCAUAAUUAAUAAUGGGUCUCUUUCUUUGUCAUAGGCUACUGAGGAUAUUGGUAUUGAUGCAAUGACAGAAAUGGAGAGACUGGCUUUGGGUGUCUACAUUGUUCGAUAUGAUGGAGCAGAUGCUUCAGAUCCACCUGAGGAUGUUGGCGUCGUCAUUGAAGGCUGCACAGUGCUGCGAGAUCUGAGAGAGGUUGCAAAUGGAUGUGCAGUCCUGUUUGGCUUGAUCUAGUGUUUAAACUUGAGCUAUCCCAAGGAGCUGCGAUACACUUUCGAAUUUCUUCAGAAAGUGUCUAUGGAAUUGGAUGGGAACAAGCUCUCCACUAAAGUGCAGGUCCUCAAAAACAAACUGCAUGAGUAAAAUCACCUGCACCAGACAAGACUGGACCUGGCUUUGGACACUUUAAUUGUGUUGACUGUUACUUUAUUUUUGGACUGCUGCUAGACAAAAUAAAGCUGUGAUCAAUGAUGGUUUGUAAUAAGCA
Long non-coding RNA from Cyprinus carpio (common carp), 1356 nucleotides. The record is from Ensembl. NCBI's taxonomy places the organism in Eukaryota, Metazoa, Chordata, Actinopteri, Cypriniformes, Cyprinidae.